UGGGGAAUAUUGCACAAUGGGCGCAAGCCUGAUGCAGCCAUGCCGCGUGUGUGAAGAAGGCCUUCGGGUUGUAAAGCACUUUCAGCGAGGAGGAAGGUGGUGAACUUAAUACGUUCAUCAAUUGACGUUACUCGCAGAAGAAGCACCGGCUAACUCCGUGCCAGCAGCCGCGGUAAUACGGAGGGUGCAAGCGUUAAUCGGAAUUACUGGGCGUAAAGCGCACGCAGGCGGUUUGUUAAGUCAGAUGUGAAAUCCCCGGGCUCAACCUGGGAACUGCAUUUGAAACUGGCAAGCUAGAGUCUCGUAGAGGGGGGUAGAAUUCCAGGUGUAGCGGUGAAAUGCGUAGAGAUCUGGAGGAAUACCGGUGGCGAAGGCGGCCCCCUGGACGAAGACUGACGCUCAGGUGCGAAAAGCGUGGGGAGCAAAACAGGAUUAGAUACCCUGGUAGUCCACGCUGUAAAACGAUGUCGAUUUUGGAGGUUGUGCCCUUGAGGCGUGGCUUCCGGAGCUAACGCGUUAAAUCGACCGCCUGGGGAGUACGGCCGCAAGGUUAAAACUUAAAUGAAUUGACGGGGUCAUAGCUGUUCCU
RNAcentral lists this ribosomal RNA (589 nucleotides) under uncultured bacterium. RNAcentral describes it as "partial 16S ribosomal RNA". It matches the Rfam family "Bacterial small subunit ribosomal RNA", at positions 355 to 937 of the family's 1533-position model. The record is from RNAcentral.